Non-coding RNA from Trichechus manatus latirostris (Florida manatee), 71 nucleotides. NCBI's taxonomy places the organism in Eukaryota, Metazoa, Chordata, Mammalia, Sirenia, Trichechidae. The record is from the annotation of a RefSeq genome assembly.
GCAGUGGUGGUUCAGUGGUAGAAUUCUUACCUUGCAUGUAGGAAACCCAGGUUCGAUUCCUGGCCGAUGCA